UACAUGGGGUGCAAACGUUGCUCGGAAUUAUUGGGCGUAAAGCGCACGUAGGCGGUUUGUUAAGUCGGAUGUGAAAUCCCUCGGCUCAACUGAGGAAGUGCAUCCGAAACUGGCAGGCUUGAGUACUAAAGAGGGUCGCGGAAUUCCCGGUGUAGAGGUGAAAUUCGUAGAUAUCGGGAGGAACACCGGUGGCGAAGGCGGCGACCUGGGU
Molecule: ribosomal RNA, 211 nt
Filed under: uncultured bacterium
Lineage: Bacteria
Description: partial 16S ribosomal RNA
Rfam family: Bacterial small subunit ribosomal RNA
Source: RNAcentral